This 497-nucleotide ribosomal RNA is filed under the name uncultured bacterium. RNAcentral's name for it is "partial 16S ribosomal RNA". It matches the Rfam family "Bacterial small subunit ribosomal RNA", at positions 28 to 507 of the family's 1533-position model. The record is from RNAcentral.
GAUGAACGCUGGCGGCGUGCCUAAUACAUGCAAGUCGAGCGAACGGACGAGAAGCUUGCUUCUCUGAUGUUAGCGGCGGACGGGUGAGUAACACGUGGAUAACCUACCUAUAAGACUGGGAUAACUUCGGGAAACCGGAGCUAAUACCGGAUGAUAUUUUGAACCGCAUGGUUCAAAAGUGAAAGACGGUCUUGCUGUCGCUUAUAGAUGGAUCCGCGCUGCAUUAGCUAGUUGGUAAGGUAACGGCUUACCAAGGCAACGAUGCAUAGCCGACCUGAGAGGGUGAUCGGCCACACUGGAACUGAGACACGGUCCAGACUCCUACGGGAGGCAGCAGUAGGGAAUCUUCCGCAAUGGGCGAAAGCCUGACGGAGCAACGCCGCGUGAGUGAUGAAGGUCUUCGGAUCGUAAAACUCUGUUAUUAGGGAAGAACAUAUGUGUAAGUAACUGUGCACAUCUUGACGGUACCUAAUCAGAAAGCCACGGCUAACUACGUG